Molecule: long non-coding RNA, 1207 nt
Filed under: Marmota monax (woodchuck)
Lineage: Eukaryota; Metazoa; Chordata; Mammalia; Rodentia; Sciuridae
Source: RNAcentral
GAUUUUUUUAAAAAAAUCUUUGUCUCUUAAGUCAUGAAAGCUGCAAAGAACAUCUGGAUUUCUUUUGUCAUUAUGAAUAAAAGAGUAGUAAUGACUUGCAGUAGUACUUACUUUUUAAAAUUUAAGCCACAUUGAUUUUAUUAAAACUUCUCAGUAUACCUGAUGAUGUAGCCUACAACCAUAAAUAGAAGAUUUAGUUGUUUAUGGAAAGUGUUUUUUGGUUUUAUAACAACAGUGUUUUUGAAUAGGUCAUUUGUAGUUCUUAUCAUUCUGUGGAGAAUGAGGGAACAGAUUAUAUUUGGAUCAAGAGAUUUGCCGAUUACCCUUUACUAAGGCACUGCAGAUAUUUUCUUUUUAAAAAUUUUGUUAGCAUUGCACUUUACAGUUUAAAACUAGUUAAUGACAAGCCUGAUAGAAAUAAUUAUAUGAUUUUUUUAUAAUGAUAAAGAAACAAAAAGUAAUCAUUGAAAAUAUAACUUUGCAUUGCUGGGUAUAGGAAGACAGGUAUCUGGUACAAAUCUUUAACAACUAUGGUUUACUGAUUUUUGCCAAACUUUGAAAAUAGGUGAGUGUGGAAGUUGUCUUUUUAAAGGAUGUUUUUCCUAGGCCUCUGGGUAAGAAAUUAACUUUACUUCCCUUUUGAUGAAAGAAUCUAUUAAGAACACUAUUUCUUUGUUUAAUAUGAGGUUAGCUGGUCUCAUUCCUUAAUAUUCCUUAAUAUUCUGAAGAAAUGAAUGCUCAGGGGAAGUUGAGAGAGUUGCUGAAGUUCAAACAAAUCACUUGUAAAAUUGGAUCCUCUAGCAGAAUUCAUGUCAGGUUGAAAUGAAUAUAUCUACUGUGGUACUCAAUCUGUGUAAAUGAUUGGCUGUUUGCCUCAUUUUUGUCAUACAAAGAAAUGCUGGAGAAAUCUUUUAUAAAUUCAGACUUUUAUUAGGUCUUUAUUCCCCCUAUAAAAAUUUUCAUCUCAGGAAUAGCUCUUAUUGUAUGAAUUAUUAUCCUAAUAUGAUAUAUGCAUACAGAUGUGUAUGUGUGUGCAUGUAUAUGUACACACAUUUCUUGAAUAAAGAUAUCUUUUGUAUUUUUCAAUCUUCUGUAGUACCUAGAAAGUAAAGAUAUGAUAUGAGAGGAAUUACCAUAUACUUCAUACUUAGUGAAUGUUUAAUAUAUAUUUUAAUUCAUGGAUAUUGGAAAAGAAGGAAAGGAAGUG